Molecule: long non-coding RNA, 1489 nt
Organism: Carlito syrichta (Philippine tarsier)
Lineage: Eukaryota; Metazoa; Chordata; Mammalia; Primates; Tarsiidae
Exons: 2
Source: RefSeq, a predicted model, not a curated record
AGAUUGUGGGCCAGCCUCCAUCUACACAGAGAACUCUUGGCUCCAAAGGAGACGGGAGGGACCAGAUGCACACCCAGAACUCUCAACUAUUGGGGCCACAGUGCUAACAAGAACAAAACUAAUAGAGUAGUUAAUACAAAAUACAAUACAAAAAUCAACCCAGGAAGAAGCAGCUGCUGACAGAAUGGCCUGCCUAGAGUGGUCUGGGAGGUCACUUUGAAAGUGGAGGGCAGACGGCCCAAGUGGCAUGAGCCUGUAGCCCCAAAGCUAUGCUGCUGUCAGCUCCUGAGGGGCCUGGAAAGGCUCAUGAGAAGGGCCUUAGACUGAACAGGCACCCCAGGAAUGAGGAGCUGUCAGGAUCUCCUGUCCCUGUGUGGCUGCAGAUGCACCGGCCCUCCUUGCCUACUCCCAGAGUCAGUGGCCUGUACCGUUGCUGUACUUCCAACUGGGAUCCUUCCCCCGUCCAGCCAUGUACAGGCUAUGGUACUACGUGGAGCCCUGCUCCCAGGGCAUGGGCAGAGCAGGUGCCUGUGCUGCACCUUCUCAGCCAGCCAAGCAUUUUGUAUUUAUCCUUUGGUGAAGAAGGACGGUACCAUCUUUCAGGGGUGAUGGCACAGUGCAGAGAUGGAACAGACCGUUGCUGCUAGGAGGCUACCCUGGAAGAGGCAGCAGCAGCAGCUCAGAUGUUCCUGACUGAUCAGAGGUUCCAUCUCUAGGCAGUGGCGGCCCAGGGAGCAGAGCGUGGAGCUGCCCCAGGUCACUUUGCCACUAAGUCCCUCCCUAGUGAAUCCCAGAGACAAGUCUCAGCUUCCUGGAGUUUGCACUGCCCGGCCUGCAGCCCUGCUUGUUUGCCUGACCUCUUCCUCCCCGGGCAGCCAGCCAGAGCGGCUCCUACUUCACAGGCUCAGCCACCAUCUUCGGGCUGCCCAUGAUGCGUCUGACACCAGAGUCUAGGUCUCCUCUUACAUCUUUGGGCAGCUUCUCGAAUCCAGCCCUCUUCCUCCCUCCCACCCAUGAGGGAAGUAGCGAAACCCCACAGCUGGUCAAGCUUGAAGAGCCGUGCCUGCUGCACACACUCGCCACAGCCUGAGCGCCAGUCGAGGUCAAAAGCCUGGCUGUGCUUCAUCCUGAGAGUCUGUUUUGAGAGUUUAAAUGGGAUAACCUACAGUAAAGAACUUAAAAAUCAUAAUGCUCUAGCCUUGGAAGGUUGUUACACCUGAGUUAUGAACAUAUUAUUCACUCAAUGCUUCCAAAGUAUGAAUUAAGCUGAGGCUACAAUGGGGAAUGAGGACGGCCCCCGCCCCCAUGAAGCCUGUGUCCCAUUGGGACAGGCAGGUGGCCAGGCAGUCGCAGCAUGGUGUGUCCAGGUUUGAUUGGUGGAGCCAUGUUUCUAUCACUCAGCCAAAAACCAAAGUGAGACUCACGGUCUCAGAUGCUUUUUGGAUAAAGAUGGAGUAGAAAUAAAUUUCAGUAAAUAAGUUAAUGGAAA